This 465-nucleotide ribosomal RNA is filed under the name Vreelandella stevensii. RNAcentral describes it as "partial 16S ribosomal RNA". It matches the Rfam family "Bacterial small subunit ribosomal RNA", at positions 338 to 795 of the family's 1533-position model. The record is from RNAcentral. Lineage: Bacteria; Pseudomonadati; Pseudomonadota; Gammaproteobacteria; Oceanospirillales; Halomonadaceae.
CCUACGGGGGGCAGCAGUGGGGAAUAUUGGACAAUGGGGGGAACCCUGAUCCAGCCAUGCCGCGUGUGUGAAGAAGGCCCUCGGGUUGUAAAGCACUUUCAGUGUGGAAGAACGCCUGGUGGUUAAUACCCAUCAGGAAAGACAUCACUCACAGAAGAAGCACCGGCUAACUCCGUGCCAGCAGCCGCGGUAAUACGGAGGGUGCGAGCGUUAAUCGGAAUUACUGGGCGUAAAGCGCGCGUAGGUGGCUUGAUAAGCCGGUUGUGAAAGCCCCGGGCUCAACCUGGGAACGGCAUCCGGAACUGUCAAGCUAGAGUGCAGGAGAGGAAGGUAGAAUUCCCGGUGUAGCGGUGAAAUGCGUAGAGAUCGGGAGGAAUACCAGUGGCGAAGGCGGCCUUCUGGACUGACACUGACACUGAGGUGCGAAAGCGUGGGUAGCAAACAGGAUUAGAUACCCCAGUAGUC